GACGAACGCUGGCGGCGUGCUUAACACAUACAAGUCGAGCGAUGAAGUUUCCUUCGGGAAAUGGAUUAGCGGCGGACGGGUGAGUAACACGUGGGUAACCUGCCUCAUAGAGGGGAAUAGCCUUUCGAAAGGAAGAUUAAUACCACAUAAGAUUGUAGUACCGCAUGGUACAGCAAUUAAAGGAGCAAUCCGCUAUGAGAUGGACCCGCGUCGCAUUAGCUAGUUGGUGAGGUAACGGCCCACCAAGGCGACGAUCAGUAGCCGGUCUGAGAGGAUGAACGGCCACAUUGGGACUGAGACACGGCCCAG
This 309-nucleotide ribosomal RNA is filed under the name uncultured bacterium. RNAcentral's name for it is "bacterial SSU rRNA". It matches the Rfam family "Bacterial small subunit ribosomal RNA", at positions 28 to 334 of the family's 1533-position model. The record is from RNAcentral.